RNAcentral lists this unclassified non-coding RNA (173 nucleotides) under Metania reticulata. Its description in RNAcentral is "sequence contains ITS2, 28S rRNA gene". RNAcentral also lists the same sequence under 5 other names. The record is from RNAcentral. Lineage: Eukaryota; Metazoa; Porifera; Demospongiae; Spongillida; Metaniidae.
UGCGCGUCGGGAACUCGACGGCGACAAGGACGGAGACCUGUUGCAACGUGAGGGUGCGCGUGCUCUUCGCGGAUGUGCGGUUUAACGACGAAGGGAACCGAGUUCGCUCGUUCCUUCCAUCCUGGACCUCAGCUCAGGCGUGACUACCCGCUGAAUUUAAGCAUAUCAAUAAG